Molecule: long non-coding RNA, 974 nt
Filed under: Mytilus galloprovincialis (Mediterranean mussel)
Lineage: Eukaryota; Metazoa; Mollusca; Bivalvia; Mytilida; Mytilidae
Source: RNAcentral
AUGUAUUUAGAAAUAUUGUGACUUAUCCGUCCAGUUUUUCAUCAAACAUUCCAUUAUUUAUAUAAGUUAUUGACAGUGUUUAGUGCUUAUGAUGUCUAGAGAACCAUCAAAUCGUCCACCAUAAAACUGUUAUAUACUUCACUCCUUCAUGGUCAUGCUAUGAAUUAAUUUAUUUUCCUUGGUACCAAUUUUCUUGGAUUGCGGAAAACUUGCCUUUUCAUGGAUAUUUGAUUUCAUUGUUUUGCUGAAGUCUGCUUACAACAUAAAAGAUUAAUUUAUUUGUGGUUCACCUGUACCCACAAAAACCAUGAAAUUGGUACCUUCUGCUGUUGUCUGUUCUAUGGUCAGGUUGUUGUCUCUUUGACACAUUCCCCAUUUCCAUACUCAAUUUUAUCCAACGAAUAAUAAUGAAUCCACAGUAUAUAGAUUUUGGAACUCGUGGGAACUAUAUAAAGCAAACAUACAAACCCUGAAAGUGAAAUGAAUUAUAAUGUGUCACUUUCAGGGUUUGUAUGUUUGCUUUAUAUAGUUGCCACGAGUUCCAAAAUCUAUAUACUGUGGAUUCAUUAUUAUUCGUUGGAUAAAAUUGAGUAUGGAAAUGGGGAAUGUGUCAAAGAGACAACAACCUGACCAUAGAACAGACAACAGCAGAAGGUACCAAUUUCAUGGUUUUUGUGGGUACAGGUGAACCACAAAUAAAUUAAUCUUUUAUGUUGUAAGCAGACUUCAGCAAAACAAUGAAAUCAAAUAUCCAUGAAAAGGCAAGUUUUCCGCAAUCCAAGAAAAUUGGUACCAAGGAAAAUAAAUUAAUUCAUAGCAUGACCAUGAAGGAGUGAAGUAUAUAACAGUUUUAUGGUGGACGAUUUGAUGGUUCUCUAGACAUCAUAAGCACUAAACACUGUCAAUAACUUAUAUAAAUAAUGGAAUGUUUGAUGAAAAACUGGACGGAUAAGUCACAAUAUUUCUAAAUACAU